UUGAAUGAACUUGGUGUGGUUGUUGCUGGCCCUCUCGGGGGCAUGUGCACACCCGCCAUCCUCAUCUUUCCACCUGUGCACCUCUUGUAGCCCUGGAUAGACUCUCCGAGGCAACUCGGUCAGGAAGAAUGCUUCUCAGCUUUCUUUGCACUUCCAGGUCUAUGUUUUUCAUAUACCCCAUAGUAUGUAACAGAAUGUAUUAUUGGGCCCUUGCGCCUAUAAACUUUAUA
This 230-nucleotide unclassified non-coding RNA is filed under the name uncultured Hebeloma. RNAcentral describes it as "sequence contains ITS1". Lineage: Eukaryota; Fungi; Basidiomycota; Agaricomycetes; Agaricales; Cortinariaceae. The record is from RNAcentral.